UAGGGAAUAUUGGAAAAUGGGGGCAACCCUGAUCCAGCCAUGCCGCGGGAGUGAAGAAGGCCCUGGGGUUGUAAAGCCCUUUUUUCCGGAAAGAAAAGCUUCGGGUUAAUACCCCGGGGUUCUGCGGGUCCCGGAAGAAUAAGCACCGGCUAAUUUCGUGCAAGCAGCCCCGGUAAUACGAAGGGUGCAAGCGUUACUCGGAAUUACUGGGCGUAAAGCGUCGGUAGGUGGUUGUUUAAGUCUGAUGUGAAAGCCCUGGGCUCAACCUGGGAAUGGCAUAGGAAACUGGGCAGCUAGAGGGCGGUAGAGGGUAGUAGAAUUCCCGGUGUAGCAGUGAAAUGCGUAGAGAUCGGGAGGAAAAUCUGUGGCGAAGGCGACUGCCUGGACCAGCACUGACACUGAGGCACGAAAGCGUGGGGAGCAAACA
RNAcentral lists this ribosomal RNA (427 nucleotides) under uncultured bacterium. Its description in RNAcentral is "bacterial SSU rRNA". It matches the Rfam family "Bacterial small subunit ribosomal RNA", at positions 355 to 774 of the family's 1533-position model. The record is from RNAcentral.